RNAcentral lists this ribosomal RNA (492 nucleotides) under uncultured bacterium. Its description in RNAcentral is "partial 16S ribosomal RNA". It matches the Rfam family "Bacterial small subunit ribosomal RNA", at positions 29 to 507 of the family's 1533-position model. The record is from RNAcentral.
AGUGAACGCUGGCGGCAGGCCUAACACAUGCAAGUCGAACGGCAGCACAGUAAGAGCUUGCUCUUACGGGUGGCGAGUGGCGGACGGGUGAGGAAUACAUCGGAAUCUACUUUUUCGUGGGGGAUAACGUAGGGAAACUUACGCUAAUACCGCAUACGACCUACGGGUGAAAGCAGGGGAUCUUCGGACCUUGCGCGAUUGAAUGAGCCGAUGUCGGAUUAGCUAGUUGGCGGGGUAAAGGCCCACCAAGGCGACGAUCCGUAGCUGGUCUGAGAGGAUGAUCGGCCACACUGGAACUGAGACACGGUCCAGACUCCUACGGGAGGCAGCAGUGGGGAAUAUUGGACAAUGGGUGCAAGCCUGAUCCAGCCAUACCGCGUGGGUGAAGAAGGCCUUCGGGUUGUAAAGCCCUUUUGUUGGGAAAGAAAAGCAGCAGGUUAAUACCCCGCUGUUCUGACGGUACCCAAAGAAUAAGCACCGGCUAACUUCGUG